UCCCCUGUGGCUCAUUUGGUAGAGCAUGGUGUGUGCAACGCCAGGGUUGUGGGUUCAAUUCCCACGGGGGGCC
Molecule: transfer RNA, 73 nt
Filed under: Salmo salar (Atlantic salmon)
Lineage: Eukaryota; Metazoa; Chordata; Actinopteri; Salmoniformes; Salmonidae
Rfam family: tRNA
About the family: Transfer RNA (tRNA) molecules are approximately 80 nucleotides in length. Their secondary structure includes four short double-helical elements and three loops (D, anti-codon, and T loops).
Source: Rfam by way of RNAcentral